AGAGUUUGAUCCUGGCUCAAGACGAACGCUGGCGGCGUGCCUAACACAUGCAAGUCAACGAGAAACGGGUAGCAAUAUCCGGAGUAAAGUGGCGCACGGGUGAGUAACGCGUAGGCUACUUGCCUUCAAGACGGGGAUAAUCUCGCGAAAGCGGGCCUAAUACCCGAUGACAUCCUGCAACAGCAUUGUUGUAGGAUCAACGGCCCCAAAGGGGUGCUUGAAGAUGGGCCUGCGUCCCAUUAGGUAGUUGGCGGGGUAACAGCCCACCAAGCCUGCGAUGGGUAGCUGGUCUGAGAGGAUGAUCAGCCACACUGGAACUGAGACACGGUCCAGACUCCUACGGGAGGCAGCAGUGAGGAAUAUUGCGCAAUGGCCGAAAGGCUGACGCAGCGACGCCGCGUGAGGGAUGAAGUCCGUUAGGAUGUAAACCUCUUUUGCAGGGGAUGAAUGUUCCCGAUUUAUCGGGACUUGACCGUACCCUGCGAAUAAGGAUCGGCCAACUACGUGCCAGCAGCCGCGGUAAUACGUAGGAUCCGAGCGUUGUCCGGAAUUACUGGGUGUAGAGGGCGUGUAGGUGGGCUUCUAAGUCGGUGGUGAAAUGCUGCAGCUUAACUGCAGAACUGCCUCCGAUACUGGAAGUCUUGAGUACGGCAGA
This 655-nucleotide ribosomal RNA is filed under the name uncultured Chlorobiota bacterium. RNAcentral's name for it is "bacterial SSU rRNA". It matches the Rfam family "Bacterial small subunit ribosomal RNA", at positions 8 to 655 of the family's 1533-position model. The record is from RNAcentral. Lineage: Bacteria; Pseudomonadati; Chlorobiota.